RNAcentral lists this ribosomal RNA (168 nucleotides) under uncultured bacterium. Its description in RNAcentral is "partial 16S ribosomal RNA". It matches the Rfam family "Bacterial small subunit ribosomal RNA", at positions 338 to 524 of the family's 1533-position model. The record is from RNAcentral.
CCUAGGGAGGCAGCAGUGGGGAAUAUUGGACAAUGGGCGCAAGCCUGAUCCAGCCAUGCCGCGUGAGUGAUGAAGGCCUUAGGGUUGUAAAGCUCUUUUACCAGGGAAGAUAAUGACAGUACCGGGAGAAUAAGCUCCGGCUAACUCCGUGCCAGCAGCCGCGGUAAU